GUAUUUAUCGCCAAAGGAUUGGCCCGCGUUGGAUUAGGUAGUUGGUGGGGUAAUGGCCUACCAAGCCUACGAUCCAUAGCUGGUUUGAGAGGAUGAUCAGCAACACUGGGACUGAGACACGGCCCAGACUCCUACGGGAGGCAGCAGGUGGGGAAUUCUUAGACAAUGGGGCGCAAGCCUGAUCUAGCCAUGCCGCGUGAGCGAUGAAGGCCUUAGGGUUGUAAAGCUCUUUCAGAUGGGAAGAUAAUGACGGUACCAUCAGAAGAAGCCCCGGCUAACUCCGUG
This 285-nucleotide ribosomal RNA is filed under the name uncultured bacterium. RNAcentral's name for it is "partial 16S ribosomal RNA". It matches the Rfam family "Bacterial small subunit ribosomal RNA", at positions 207 to 507 of the family's 1533-position model. The record is from RNAcentral.